GACGAACGCUGGCGGCAGGCCUAACACAUGCAAGUCGAACGGGUGUAGCAAUACAUCAGUGGCGCACGGGUGAGUAACGCGUGGGAACGUGCCCUUCACUACGGGACAACGUCGGGAAACUGACGCUAAUACCGUAUAAUGUCUCCGGACCAAAGAUUUAUCGGUGAAGGAUCGGCCCGCGUCUGAUUAGCUAGUUGGUGAGGUAAAAGCUCACCAAGGCGACGAUCAGUAGCUGGUUUGAGAGAAUGAUCAGCCACACUGGGACUGAGACACGGCCCAGACUCCUACGGGAGGCAGCAGUGAGGAAUCUUGGAAAAUGGGCGCAAGCCUGAUCCAGCCAUGCCGCGUGAGUGAUGAAGGCCUUAGGGUUGUAAAGCUCUUUUGCCGGGGAUGAUAAUGACCGUACCCGGAGAAUAAGCCACGGCUAAAUUCGUGCCAGCAGCCGCCGUAA
This 451-nucleotide ribosomal RNA is filed under the name uncultured bacterium. RNAcentral describes it as "partial 16S ribosomal RNA". It matches the Rfam family "Bacterial small subunit ribosomal RNA", at positions 28 to 523 of the family's 1533-position model. The record is from RNAcentral.